AGGGGCUUAGGAUAACCAUUAGACCAAGAGCCUUCAAAGCUCUAAGUAGGAGUGAAAAUCUCCUAGCCCCUG
RNAcentral lists this transfer RNA (72 nucleotides) under Beaufortia pingi. RNAcentral's name for it is "tRNA-Trp". It matches the Rfam family "tRNA". Rfam says of the family: Transfer RNA (tRNA) molecules are approximately 80 nucleotides in length. Their secondary structure includes four short double-helical elements and three loops (D, anti-codon, and T loops). The record is from RNAcentral. Lineage: Eukaryota; Metazoa; Chordata; Actinopteri; Cypriniformes; Gastromyzontidae.